UAGCUACUCCCUCCGUUCUAAAUUACUUAUCAAACGAAUUGAUGUAUCUAGACGUAUUUUAAUUCUAGAUACAUCCAUUUUUAUCCUUUUUGCGAUAACUAAUUCCGGACGGAGGGAGUAGGUC
This is a non-coding RNA of Triticum aestivum (bread wheat), 124 nucleotides long. The record is from Rfam. Lineage: Eukaryota; Viridiplantae; Streptophyta; Magnoliopsida; Poales; Poaceae.